This is a long non-coding RNA of Hemicordylus capensis (graceful crag lizard), 1058 nucleotides long. RefSeq lists it as uncharacterized. The transcript is spliced from 3 exons. The record is from RefSeq and is a predicted model, not a curated record. Lineage: Eukaryota; Metazoa; Chordata; Lepidosauria; Squamata; Cordylidae.
AGGGGAGAGACGAGGGCGGGUCCGGCCCGGGCACCCUACUAGCGCCCGUUAUUUUAACGGGCUUAAAAAUACUAGUCUAUCAAUAAAAGGAUAGUGGGCAGGGGUCUGCGAAGAGAGAGGUCAUGAGGGAGGAAAGAGCCCCUUCAGGAGAAGGAAGGGGGGGGGGGAGAGAAGGACUGAGGGGAAACGCAAGCAGAGGAAAGGGAAAAGAGAAAAACUGAGGGCGAGGAAUGGGCCUGGGCCUCUCAGUGGCCUGAAGGAAGCAUGUAUCUGAUCCUUCCGUUCUUCGUGGUUCUUAGCAAUUCUUGGGAUGGUUUGGUUGAAUGUGUUCAGGAGAAAAACCCAGGAGGAAGUUGGUAUGCUAUGUCAAAAUAUGCAGACCCCUAAGGUCCACCUGUAUAUUUUAUGCAAAAACCUCCAGUAAAGGGAAACCUCAUUAUCCACAGAUUCGUGGUCGAGGAAAAGAUACCUGACCUCAGCAUACACUGGAAAAAUAGAAAAGAAAAACACAUCGCCUUCAUGUAUCCAUGGGUCAGGGACGGCCGGAAAUUACCACGGAGGUCAUUCCCAGCCACCAUUUUGUUUGAGUCACAAAAUGGAUCUGUUUGCGGGGGGGGGAGAAACAGCAAUUUUGUGGCCGAUUUUGGGGCAUUCUGGGACACAGCAUGACUUGGGAGGCACAGAAAAGCAUGGUAAGGAGUUCCCCCCACGCGCUCCCUCCAUGAAAUCUGGCCGAUUUGGGGGCAUUUUUGAGCAAUUUCUGACUGACCAGGACCUAACCCCCCAUAAUCCCAUUGACUUUAAUGCCUCGAUAUUCAUGGUUUCCACAUCUGCUGCAGCAGCCAAGAAUAGAACCCACGUGAAUAUCGAGAUCCUCCUGUACAUGAAAUUCCCCCAAGUUGUAUUGCAGAGUUUUUCAAGUGGUUGAACUGAAAUAUUUGGUGGCGGUGAUGAGGAAAUCUAUAAAGAUACUAAUUGUAAUUUUAAUGGAAUACUGAAACUAAUUAAAAGUUUGUAUUUGAUCUUUGAUUGAAAUAAACAUUGACUAAUUAAAAGCU